This 465-nucleotide ribosomal RNA is filed under the name uncultured bacterium. RNAcentral describes it as "partial 16S ribosomal RNA". It matches the Rfam family "Bacterial small subunit ribosomal RNA", at positions 28 to 507 of the family's 1533-position model. The record is from RNAcentral.
GACGAACGCUGGCGGCGUGCUUAACACAUGCAAGUCGAACGGAAAGGCCCCCUUGUGGGGUGCUCGAGUGGCGAACGGGUGAGUAACACGUGAGUAACCUACCCUUGACUUUGGGAUAACUUCAGGAAACUGGGGCUAAUACCGGAUAGGAGCUCCUGCUGCAUGGUGGGGGUUGGAAAGUUUCGGCGGUUGGGGAUGGACUCGCGGCUUAUCAGCUUGUUGGUGGGGUAGUGGCUCACCAAGGCUUUGACGGGUAGCCGGCCUGAGAGGGUGACCGGCCACAUUGGGACUGAGAUACGGCCCAGACUCCUACGGGAGGCAGCAGUGGGGAAUAUUGCACAAUGGGCGGAAGCCUGAUGCAGCAACGCCGCGUGCGGGAUGACGGCCUUCGGGUUGUAAACCGCUUUCGCCUGUGACGAAGCGUGAGUGACGGUAAUGGGUAAAGAAGCACCGGCUAACUACGUG